Molecule: ribosomal RNA, 253 nt
Filed under: uncultured bacterium
Lineage: Bacteria
Description: partial 16S ribosomal RNA
Rfam family: Bacterial small subunit ribosomal RNA
Source: RNAcentral
UACGGAGGGUGCAAGCGUUAUCCGGAUUCACUGGGUUUAAAGGGUGCGUAGGAGGGCAGGUAAGUCAGUGGUGAAAUCUCCGGGCUUAACUCGGAAACUGCCGUUGAUACUAUCUGUCUUGAAUAUUGUGGAGGUGAGCGGAAUAUGUCAUGUAGCGGUGAAAUGCUUAGAUAUGACAUAGAACACCAAUUGCGAAGGCAGCUCGCUACACAUAUAUUGACUCUGAGGCACGAAAGCGUGGGGAUCAAACAGG